This 400-nucleotide small RNA is filed under the name Pongo abelii (Sumatran orangutan). RNAcentral's name for it is "retained intron". Lineage: Eukaryota; Metazoa; Chordata; Mammalia; Primates; Hominidae. The record is from RNAcentral.
GGCUGGCAGCUGCCGGAAUGGACAGGACAGACAGAAGCAUUUCCAUCAUCCCAGAAAUCUCUUGACAGGCUACUUAGAGUUUAUUUUAUGCUAAAAGGCAAAGAGGUUCUUUGUUUUCAGCACCAGAUCACUCUCUGUGGCGAGAUACCCUUCCUAGCGUGACCUUCUCUUUCUCUGCUCCAGUCUUUGGAAGAAGUGUGUGACCUGCUGCACGCGGCUCCCUUCCAGAACAUCUUGCCGCGAGUCCACGUGAAAGAGGGGGAGAGACUUGAUGCCAAAAUGAAAAGACUAGAAUCAAAGUACGCUCCGCUGCAUCUUGUCCCACUGAUUGAAAGACUGGGGACCCCUCAGCAAAUUGCCAUCGCAAGAGAGGGGGACCUGCUGACAAAGGAGCGCCUCU